This is a long non-coding RNA of Zea mays, 179 nucleotides long. RefSeq lists it as uncharacterized. The record is from RefSeq and is a predicted model, not a curated record. The transcript has 2 exons. NCBI's taxonomy places the organism in Eukaryota, Viridiplantae, Streptophyta, Magnoliopsida, Poales, Poaceae.
UUCAUUAUCUGACACUCAUCAAUCCUUAGGCUGUUGAACUCAUGCUUGUCGAUGCACUCAUUGAGGCUAAUGACUACUUGGGGAUAUCAUUGCAUGCACACGACCCAGAAGAUUUUUGGAAGUUGGAUGACACAAUCAUCAAAACCAUUGAGACUGCUCCCAACAAUGAACUGAAAAAA